CUAUCUCAGUGCCAGUCCUUUCUUCAGAAAAAAAGUAUCCUACAUAGCAUAGUUUCAACAUUUUGUUAUAACCUAAAACGAUUAUUUAACACACUACUUCAGAGAAUGAAUCCAGCAUUACUUUCUAACACAUGUAAUAUUCAUUUGAAUAUUUGCGGAAAGCCAAUAAUAAAAUACGCAUUUUUCACACAAGCGGGCAGAGCCCAUGGAAAGGGACAUUUCGGGUUAAAGAGUCAGGGAGGGCACCUGAGGCGUUCCCCUGAGGGCGGUGAGGUGAAUUGCGUUGCCUUGGCCGUGCCGCUCGGUAGGGGGCGCACUCCCCGCCCCUCCCUCCCCGGGGCUCCCUUAUCACCCCCAGCGGGCGAUGUUGCCGCGCCACCGCCUCCACCUCCUGCUCUUCCUCCGCACCCUGCACGGCUCUGCCUUUGGCAUGGGCGACUGGGCCUCCCGCCUGCCGCAGGCGAGCGAAGCGCUGCCCGGCAGGAGCCAGCGCAUGGCGGUGCCAGUGGGACAGUGCCAGCCCUAAACCCACCGGGCUCGCGGAUCCGCUGCUUUGAUUUUCACCUGGAUUCAGCUGGAACUCUCCAUUCCUGGGGCUAA
This 600-nucleotide long non-coding RNA is filed under the name Junco hyemalis (dark-eyed junco). RNAcentral's name for it is "lncRNA (ENSJHYG00000007175.1)". Lineage: Eukaryota; Metazoa; Chordata; Aves; Passeriformes; Passerellidae. The record is from RNAcentral.